AUGCACGCUAGCGGCAGGCCUAAUACCUGCAAGUCGGACGGGAUUCAGGAGCUUGCUUCUGAUGAGAGUGGCGCACGGGUGCGUAACACGUAUGUAACCUACCUUUAUCAGGGGGAUAGCCUCUCGAAAGAGAGAUUAAGCCCGCAUAAAAUCACAGCACAGCAUUGUGUAAUGAUCAAAUAUUUAUAGGAUAAAGAUGGGCAUGCGGAACAUUAGCUAGAUGGCGGGGUAACGGCCCACCAUGGCGACGAUGUUUAGGGGAUCUGAGAGGAUGGCCCCCCACACUGGUACUGAGACACGGACCAGACUCCUACGGGAGGCAGCAGUAAGGAAUAUUGGUCAAUGGGCGGAAGCCUGAACCAGCCAUGCCGCGUGCAGGAAGACGGCCCUACGGGUUGUAAACUGCUUUUAUACGGGAAUAAACCCAGAUACGUGUAUCUGGCUGAAUGUACUGUAAGAAUAAGGAUCGGCUAACUCCGUG
RNAcentral lists this ribosomal RNA (481 nucleotides) under uncultured bacterium. RNAcentral describes it as "partial 16S ribosomal RNA". It matches the Rfam family "Bacterial small subunit ribosomal RNA", at positions 29 to 507 of the family's 1533-position model. The record is from RNAcentral.